Molecule: long non-coding RNA, 601 nt
Filed under: Numida meleagris (helmeted guineafowl)
Lineage: Eukaryota; Metazoa; Chordata; Aves; Galliformes; Numididae
Description: lncRNA (ENSNMEG00000006147.1)
Source: RNAcentral
AAAGAUGUUUAUGGUGAGGUGGGACAGACACUGAAACAGGCCCAUCUGGGAGCAAUGUCCUAACAAGCUGUGCAAAAGAUUAACAUGCAGACGGCCUUUCUGGGAUAUCAGGCGUUCCUGCCUGUUUUUCUUCUAGGCUUUCUUUUUGGGGGUAUAGAGAAAUAAAGACAAUGAAAACACCGAAAGGAAGGAAUACAGUAGCUUGUAAGUUACAUGGAAAACAACAGCUAAUGGGAUCCAUCUUGUCAACAAAGAAAGGCUGGAACUGGAGAUUUAUCACAAGAAGUUUUCACUUUUCAUGAACAAGGAUUAUGACUGAAGACAGCAGAGGAAUAUAAACAAAGCUGGAAGAAGACUGUUGUGCUGUGUGAAGAGUAAUGUUUGGAUGGGAGCGAGCAGAUAGGGGUCACCUAGUAUCAGCUGUGAGCUGAGAUCAUAUUAUGAAAACACUAGAGCAGUGUUCCUUCUUCCACGUAUUAACCUUGCCUUCUGAAAUCUAGCCUUAAAAAAAAAAAAAAGAAGGUAGUCAGAGGAUGAAGUUGGUUGUGCGGCUGUGGAAGAAACCAAAGCAGAGACAAUAAAUCCUGAUGUUUCUUCCUCA